RNAcentral lists this ribosomal RNA (287 nucleotides) under uncultured bacterium. RNAcentral describes it as "partial 16S ribosomal RNA". It matches the Rfam family "Bacterial small subunit ribosomal RNA", at positions 32 to 312 of the family's 1533-position model. The record is from RNAcentral.
AAUCAACGCUGGCGGCGUGCCUCAGACAUGCAAGUCGAACGAUUAAAGCUCUCCUCGGAGAGUGUAUAGAGUGGCGCACGGGUGAGUAACACGUAAGUAAUCUACCUUCGAGUGGGGAAUAACGUCCGGAAACGGACGCUAAUACCGCAUAAUGCAGCGGCAUCGCAAGAUGACAGUUGUUAAAGAUUUAUCGCUUGAAGAGGAGCUUGCGGCAGAUAGCUAGUUGGUAAGGUAAUGGCUUACCAAGGCUACGAUCUGUAACCGGUCUAAGAGGACGGUCUGUCACA